Molecule: long non-coding RNA, 1267 nt
Organism: Fundulus heteroclitus (mummichog)
Lineage: Eukaryota; Metazoa; Chordata; Actinopteri; Cyprinodontiformes; Fundulidae
Exons: 3
Source: RefSeq, a predicted model, not a curated record
CUUAGGUGUCUCCAACAGGACAGAAGAUCAAGACUAAACCCAGAAAUUUCUGGUUCUGUUGCUUGGUUUCUUCAACACAAUGAGAGCUAAUCUGUUUGUCGCUGCACUCUGCCUCCUGGGUACAGUAAUCCUGUGCCAAGCGGACACAACACUAACUUCAACUCCUAUCACCUCAUCUACUACAUCCACUGGUACACCCAGUACAGACUCAACUGGUGCACCCAGUACAGCCUCAACUGGUGCACCUGGAUCAACCUCAACUGGUGCACCUGGAUCAACCUCAACUGGUGCACCUGGAUCAACCUCAACAGGUGCACCCGCUUCAGCAGCCACCAGUGGACCAGGACCGACUGAGGAACCUUCAUCGGGAGGACUGUCAGGAGGAGCGAUAGCAGGCAUCACAAUAGGCACGAUUGCUGGGGUCGGCUUAUUGGGUGGUGGUAUCUACGGUCUGCUGAAGUACACUAACAAAAUCUGAGGCUAACACCAUCCAAACGAACACUUCAAGCUUCAGUAAAAUCAAAAGGACAUGUAUUAAAAUAUAUUAUAUGGUUAAAUUCUUAAACUGUAAAACCUGAUUAUUUUAACAAGUGAUUAUUUAAAAAAAAUGUUUGAUACUUUGAACGUGCCAUGACCACAAAACUGUGUAAUCUAAACUUCUCUGAUAAUUUGACCAUUGGGGUCAGGUUUCUAGCUGACUUUGAUCAAUGAAAAGAAAAUGAAGGAGAACAACUGGAAAAUGUGGCAAUUUAUGAUGUAACUAAGAAUGUUACGGAUAUUCCCAAACAGCCCAACAAACUGUUUAGCAUUGAGUGAUAGUAAGUUCUCCAGUAAAGACUAAGGGCUGAUUCACAACUAAUGUUUUGUACCACAAAUACAUCUUUUUCACAAUCUUGACACCAACUACAGAACGUGACUUCUCGCUGAAGGAUAUGAUUAUUUUAUAGUUUACAACAAAAACAUGUUUGUAGGUUAAAGCAAAUAGGUUUUUAAUGGGUACAAUACACAUUUAAACAUUGUUAAGUCUUGCUUUGCCAACCAUUUAUCUCAUACCAUUUAUGUGUAUGUAUCUAUAAUUUUUUGACUAGUUCCAAAUUAAAAUGGUCAUAUUCUGAAGUUGUUGAAAACAUUUACUUGUGCUUUUAGACAAUGAAGUUUAAUGUGUUCUAUGUAUUUGUUUCAAUGAUGUUUAGUAAGGGCUGUUUAGAUUACACUUUCAGCUGAAGAAGAAGAUGUGCCUCAAUUCUGCAUAAAUUGAUUAAAAUAA